AGCUCCAAUAGCGUAUAUUAAUGUUGUUGCAGUUAAAAAGCUCGUAGUUGGAUUUCUGCGCCGCGCAGCUCGGUCCGCCGCACUGCGGUGCGACUGUGGCUGGAGCGUCGCAUCCUUGUGGGGACUGUUCUUGCCAUUAAUUUGGUGAUUUCAGGAACCGCAUCGUUUACUGUGAAAAAAUUAGAGUGUUCAAAGCAGGCUUAGGCCGUUGGAUACAUUAGCAUGGAAUAAUGAGAUAGGGCCACCGCGGUCUAUUUUGUUGGUUUGCACGUUGUGGUAAUGAUUAACAGGAACGGUUGGGGGUAUUCGUAUUCAAUUGUCAGAGGUGAAAUUCUUGGAUUUGUGGAAGACGAACUACUGCGAAAGCAUUUACCAAGGAUGUUUUCAUUAAUCAAGAACG
RNAcentral lists this ribosomal RNA (400 nucleotides) under phytoplankton environmental sample. RNAcentral describes it as "partial small subunit ribosomal RNA". It matches the Rfam family "Eukaryotic small subunit ribosomal RNA", at positions 587 to 985 of the family's 1831-position model. The record is from RNAcentral.